UUAGAUUCCUGUACCACGCAUUAUCAGAACUGUAGGGACGCAUGUGGAAAGCACGAGCCGGGAAUGGAAAGACCGGUACAAGCGGGGUAGGUGUACAAUAGGCAAAUCCGUUGUAUAAUCCGAAGACGUGAUGUGGAGCGAAAUAAAGUAGCAAAGCGUGUGAGCCAUGUGCCGAGAAAAGCUGCUAUUGUGUAAUGCGUGCCCGUAC
Molecule: ribosomal RNA, 208 nt
Filed under: Agathobacter rectalis
Lineage: Bacteria; Bacillati; Bacillota; Clostridia; Lachnospirales; Lachnospiraceae
Description: partial 23S ribosomal RNA
Rfam family: Bacterial large subunit ribosomal RNA
Source: RNAcentral